RNAcentral lists this long non-coding RNA (647 nucleotides) under Selaginella moellendorffii. Its description in RNAcentral is "long non-coding RNA (SMOE_LNC000893)". Lineage: Eukaryota; Viridiplantae; Streptophyta; Lycopodiopsida; Selaginellales; Selaginellaceae. The record is from RNAcentral.
CGAUAGGAAGAACUUCAUGGAGAAGAUACCACGGCAUAAGUCCCCACGUAGAGCCAGCCCCAUGCCCAAAUAUCUAGCUCACGAUUCGACAUAAAUCCCAUUGGAGAAGACCAGUAGCGAGCAAUCGUCGUCAGGACAGUCUCGAUGCUACUGGAUGAGUGCGAAAACGAAGGUGAACCAGUUGACGAGCUGGCAAAACAUCUGCAUAAAAAAGUUUAUGAGCUUUCCUCUCAUUUUUUCAGAUGGAUACUUCACUUUGCAACACGGUCACCAAAUGCGAACUUCCACAAGUAAACAUCACCGGCUGCGGCCAUGAGAGACUGGAAAAGCCUUGGCGACCACGUCGAACAUGGUAUUCAUGAUCAAGCUAGGAGGAUUAAAACUCUCUCGCAAACGAAAGCUCAAGUUUGAUCGAGCUUACCAUGAGCCACGUCGCUCCAUUCCCAACCUCGACGUCCAUAGCUAGACAAAGAAAACAAGUUGAGUAGUAUUGAGAGAUUUGUUUUUGAGCAUACCCGAAGACUGUGAUGCACAACUUCGAGUGCUUGCCAGUGCUCGUCCGGAGUCUUAUGCACAGAGCAGCCAAAUACCAAGCGCCGAUUGCUCGCUGCCAAGAACUCUUUCAUCGAAGAAGAGAAUUCUCAAAA